GAACUUUGAAGGUUCUUUGGUGGUGACUGGAUAGCUAACGUACAGAACAUUUUUCUAUGGAGUGCUGUGACCCCGGUGGAACUUAGGAACCGGUCAGACAUCGGCCGAGCCAACACGUCCCCCCAGACCACCAUACUGCCACUUCUGAUAGUUCCUUCAAACUGUCAGAGAGAUUUUAACCUGUUGGCGUUCGACCCAGACGGAGAUGAGGUUAGAUGCAGAUAUGGAAAUGCAACUCUGUCUGAGUGUGCUACCUGCACACCGCCGUCUGUUCUCAAUCUCUCAUCAUCCUGUACUCUGUCCUUCAGCCCCACCCUGAGCACU
This is a long non-coding RNA of Etheostoma cragini (Arkansas darter), 324 nucleotides long. RefSeq lists it as uncharacterized. The record is from RefSeq and is a predicted model, not a curated record. NCBI's taxonomy places the organism in Eukaryota, Metazoa, Chordata, Actinopteri, Perciformes, Percidae. The transcript has 3 exons.